RNAcentral lists this ribosomal RNA (440 nucleotides) under uncultured bacterium. RNAcentral's name for it is "partial 16S ribosomal RNA". It matches the Rfam family "Bacterial small subunit ribosomal RNA", at positions 338 to 795 of the family's 1533-position model. The record is from RNAcentral.
CCUACGGGUGGCAGCAGUGGGGAAUAUUGCACAAUGGGGGAAACCCUGAUGCAGCGACGCCGCGUGAGUGAAGAAGUAUUUCGGUAUGUAACGCUCUAUCAGCAGGGAAGAAAAUGACGGUACCUGCUUAAGAAGCCCCGGCUAACUACGUGCCAGCAGCCGCGGUAAUACGUAGGGGGCAAGCGUUCUACGGAUUUACUUGGUGUAAAGGGAGCAUAGACGGCAGCGCAAAUCUGAAGUGAAAUGCCGGGGCUUAACCCCGGAACUGCUUUGGAAACUGUGCAGCUAGAGUGCAGGAGAGGGAAGUGGAACUCCUAGUGUAGCGGUGAAAUGCGUAGAUAUGAGGAGGAACACCAGUGGCGAAGGCGGCUUACUGGACUGUAACUGACGUUGAGGCUCGAAAGCGUGGGGAGCAAACAGGAUUAGAUACCCUUGUAGUC